AAGGGCUCACCAAGGCGACGAUCCCUAGCUGGUCUGAGAGGAUGAUCAGCCACACUGGAACUGAGACACGGUCCAGACUCCUACGGGAGGCAGCAGUGGGGAAUAUUGCACAAUGGGCGCAAGCCUGAUGCAGCCAUGCCGCGUGUGUGAAGAAGGCCUUCGGGUUGUAAAGCACUUUCAGUCGUGAGGAAGGUAGUGUAGUUAAUAGCUGCAUUAUUUGACGUUAGCGACAGAAGAAGCACCGGCUAACUCCGUGCCAGCAGCCGCGGUAAUACGGAGGGUGCG
Molecule: ribosomal RNA, 285 nt
Filed under: Vibrio parahaemolyticus
Lineage: Bacteria; Pseudomonadati; Pseudomonadota; Gammaproteobacteria; Vibrionales; Vibrionaceae
Description: partial 16S ribosomal RNA
Rfam family: Bacterial small subunit ribosomal RNA
Source: RNAcentral